This 301-nucleotide ribosomal RNA is filed under the name uncultured bacterium. RNAcentral's name for it is "partial 16S ribosomal RNA". It matches the Rfam family "Bacterial small subunit ribosomal RNA", at positions 509 to 807 of the family's 1533-position model. The record is from RNAcentral.
CAGCAGCCGCGGUAAUGCGAAGGGGGCUAGCGUUGUUCGGAUUUACUGGGCGUAAAGGGCGCGUAGGCGGACUGAUAAGUCAGGGGUGAAAUCCCAAGGCUCAACCUUGGAACUGCCUUUGAUACUGUUUGUCUUGAGUUCGAGAGAGGUAAGUGGAACUGCGAGUGUAGAGAUGAAAUUCGUAGAUAUUCGCAAGAACACCAGUGGCGAAGGCGGCUUACUGGCUCGAAACUGACGCUGAGGCGCGAAAGCGUGGGGAGCAAACAGGAUUAGAUACCCCAGUAGUCCCUGUCUCUUAUAC